GACAGAGGGUGCAAACGUUGUUCGGAAUUACUGGGCGUAAAGCGUGCGCAGGCGGUUCGUUAAGUUCGUUGUGAAAGCCCCGGGCUCAACCUGGGAACUGCAAUGGAAACUGGCGGGCUUGAGUAUGGCAGAGGGGGGUGGAAUUCCGCGUGUAGCAGUGAAAUGCGUAGAGAUGCGGAGGAACACCGAUGGCGAAGGCAGCCCCCUGGGCCAAUACUGACGCUCAGGCACGAAAGCGUGGGGAGCAAACAGG
RNAcentral lists this ribosomal RNA (253 nucleotides) under uncultured bacterium. RNAcentral describes it as "partial 16S ribosomal RNA". It matches the Rfam family "Bacterial small subunit ribosomal RNA", at positions 524 to 776 of the family's 1533-position model. The record is from RNAcentral.